Molecule: ribosomal RNA, 361 nt
Filed under: uncultured bacterium
Lineage: Bacteria
Description: bacterial SSU rRNA
Rfam family: Bacterial small subunit ribosomal RNA
Source: RNAcentral
GUGUCUCUAUCAGAGUUUGAUCCUGGCUCAGGAUGAACGCUAGCGAUAGGCUUAACACAUGCAAGUCGAGGGGUAACAUGGGAGUAGCUUGCUACUUCUGAUGACGACCGGCGGAUGGGUGAGUAACGCGUAUGCAACUUGCCUCUUAGUGGGGAAUAACCCGGAGAAAUCCGGACUAAUACCGCAUACACUUAGUUAUCCGCAUGAUGAUGAGAAGAAAGGUGGCCUCUUGAAAAAGCUACCACUGAAGGAGGGGAUUGCGUCUGAUUAGCUAGUUGGAGGGGUAACGGCCCACCAAGGCGAUGAUCAGUAGCCGGUCUGAGAGGAUGAACGGCCACAUUGGGACUGAGACACGGCCCAA